UCAGACGGCCGGGCGGUCGCGGCGGAGGUUAUGCCCUCGUCGAGGAAAGUCCGGGCUCCACGGUGAAGAGGCGGCGGGCAACACCCGCCCGGGGCGACCCGAGGGAUAGCGCCACAGAAAGCAAACCUCCGGCCUCGCGAGGCCGGUAAGGGUGAAAGGGUGGGGUAAGAGCCCACCGCGUGCCUGGCAACAGGGACGGCAUGGCAAGCCCCGCCUGGAGCAAGACCGAAUAGGGAUGUCGCGCGGCCUUCAGGAUUCGUCCUGGGGCCGCAGGGUUCACCGCCCGAGGCGUCCGGGUAGGUCGCGAGAACCGUCCGGCAACGGGCGGUCCAGAGGAAUGAUCGUCGCCGUCCUCCGGGGCGGAACAGAACCCGGCUUACAGGCCGUCUGACAUU
This 395-nucleotide RNase P RNA is filed under the name Brevundimonas sp. RNAcentral's name for it is "RNase P RNA component class A". It matches the Rfam family "Bacterial RNase P class A". From Rfam's summary of the family: Ribonuclease P (RNase P) is a ubiquitous endoribonuclease, found in archaea, bacteria and eukarya as well as chloroplasts and mitochondria. Its best characterised activity is the generation of mature 5'-ends of tRNAs by cleaving the 5'-leader elements of precursor-tRNAs. Cellular RNase Ps are ribonucleoproteins. Lineage: Bacteria; Pseudomonadati; Pseudomonadota; Alphaproteobacteria; Caulobacterales; Caulobacteraceae. The record is from RNAcentral.